RNAcentral lists this ribosomal RNA (564 nucleotides) under Triticum aestivum (bread wheat). Its description in RNAcentral is "partial small subunit ribosomal RNA". Lineage: Eukaryota; Viridiplantae; Streptophyta; Magnoliopsida; Poales; Poaceae. The record is from RNAcentral.
AUGCACCAGCUCUCACUAUUAGAAAUAGUAGCAAGCAACGAAAAUGAGGUGCUCCAGCUUGAAACUUUGACACUGCCAAACCCUCUUCAGAAGCUCAUUUUUGCAGGGCGAUUUUCGGAAGGAACUUUGAAAUCUCAAUAUUUCUCAAACCAUGGAGAUGCACUUCACACGAUAUCCCUAUACUGUUCCCAGCUCGUGGAGAACCCAUUUCCACGCCUCUCUGAAUUUUUUAGUUUGACCAAAAUAUUUCUUAAAAGGGCGUAUACUGGACAAGAGCUAAACUUCCAUCCAGGGUGGUUCCCGAAUGUGAAGGUUAUUUUCUUGAUGGAUUUGCCACACGUCAACAAAAUACACAUACACGAGGGAACUUUGGUCCUCCUUGAAGAACUUGUGAUUAGUAACCUUGAAGAACUGGAGAGCAUCCCUACAGGCGUUGAAUAUCUGAAAUCCCUCAAAGAGGCAUUCUUUCUUAAAAUGCAUCCUAAUUUCGAAAGGAAUUUUCCAACGACAAAACUAAAUCAUGUCCAGACAGCCCGCUACAGUAUACGAUCCGAAGUGGCAUGA